Molecule: long non-coding RNA, 2941 nt
Filed under: Callithrix jacchus (white-tufted-ear marmoset)
Lineage: Eukaryota; Metazoa; Chordata; Mammalia; Primates; Cebidae
Description: lncRNA (ENSCJAG00000074124.1)
Source: RNAcentral
UUGGUACCUUGUUAUCCCAAGGGGACUGAUUCCAGGACUACCCUUGGAUACCAAAAGCCAUGCAUACUCAAGUUCAGUCAGACCUGUGGAACUGCUGAUAUAAAAAGUCAGCCCUCCAUAUUGGUUGGUUUGUUUUGGAUUUGUGAUUCCUGUAAAACUAAGGAGCAAAUUGAUAUAAACUGGAUUUUAAAAUUAAAUACAGCCUGGAAAUCUUGCAUUCUAGAUUUCUCAGUUUGUUUUGCAGUUAGGAGAGACCACACGACAGAGUUCUGUAUAAGGAUGGUAAGUAGAGACUUCUGCAAAAUACUUAUCUGUUCUUCAUGCUUAGAGGAAAAAGUAGGGAAAGAGGUACCUGAGUCACCCAACCAAAUGACAAAAUACUACAUGAUGAGAACAGUGGAGUAGAACAUGGAAAGAGUCUCACCGAUUGCCUUAUUGAGCAGCUGUGCCAGCCCAGAACCUUCUACCUUUGGCCUCUGUUGUGUGAAACAUUUAUGCCCCUUUCUGUUUAAGCCAGGAUAGCAGGAAUUCAGAGUGCUCAAUUGUUUACAGCUAGGAAUACACUUCUGCUGUAAAGGUUAAGUAAUAACAUGAUUCAAGGAUAAAUAAUUUCAAGAAGACCUUGAAUAAUCAAUACUAUCUAGUUAUAACAUAGUCUGUUUUCUGUUGCUUUUAACAGAAUACCUGCAACUGGGUAAUUUAUUUUAAAAAUGAAUUUAUUUCUUAUAGUUAUGGAGGCUGAGAAGUCCAAGGUCAAGGUGCUGCUUCUAGUGAGAGCAUUCUUGCUGGUGGAGAUGCUCUGCAGAGUCUGAAGGUGAUGCAGUGAUGCACCGGACGAAGGGGCUAAGCAUACUCAGAUCUCACUUUCUCCUCCUGUAGUGCCACUUGCAUGAUAACUCACUAAUCCAUUAACACAUGGGGCCACAGCCCUCAUGACUCUAUCACCUCUUAAAUCCCCUACCUUUCAAUAUUUCUACAUUUGGGGUUAAAUUUCAUCAUGUAUUUUGGGACAAAAUAUUCCAACUAUAGCAAGUUACAUAAACAUAAAAAGUUACAUUUUUAAGACAGAUAUCUUAUAGCUUUCACAAAUUUUCCAAGGAUGGUUAUAAUAUGCAAGAUUACUCAAUGUAUUUGGCCAUAUACUUCCCAAUUUCCCCACAUUUUUCUUAGAAGCUUUAUUGAGAUAUAAUUACAUUCUAUAUAAUUCACCCAUUUAAAGCGUACUGUUCAAGACACUUCUCAAAAGAAGACAUAUGGCCAAGAAGCAUAUAAAAAAUGCUCAACAUCACCAACCAUUAGAGGGAAAUGCAAAUCAAAACUGCAAGAAGAUACCAUCCCACACCAUUCGAAAUGCCCACUAUUAUAAAGUUUAAAAAUAACAGAUGCUGGCCUGCAGAGAAAAGGGAACACUUACACGCUGCUAUUAGUUCAGCCACUGUGGAAAGUAGUUUGGAGAUUUCUUUAAGAACUGAAAAUGGAACUAUCAUUUGAUCCAUAAAUCCCAUUACUGGUUAUAUACCCAAAGGAAUGUUAAUAUAUCUACUAUAAUAACUCAUGCAUGUGUAUGUUCAUUGUGGCACUAUUCAUAAUAGCAAACACAGGGAGCCAAUCUAAAUGUCAUCAACGGUGGGCUGGCUAAAGGUGUGGCAUAUGUAUACCACAGAAUACUACACGGUCAUUAGAAAGAACAAAAGCAUGUUCUUCGCAGCAACAUGGAUGGAGCUGGAGGCCAUUAUCCUAAGUGAAUUAAUGCAGGAACAGCAAACCAAAUAUGGUAUUUUCUCACCCAUAAGUGGGAGUUAACAUUGAUUAUGCAUGGACACAAAGACAGAAACAAUAGACACAGGGGUUCUCCACUUGAGAGUGGAGGUUGGGAAGAGGGUAAGGGUAAAAAAAUACCUAUCAGAUACUAUGCUUAUUACCUCUGUGAUGAAAAAAAUCUGUACACCAAACCCCUUGAUUCAUAAUUUAUCCAUGUAACAAACCUCCACAAGCGCCCCUGAACUUAGAAUAAAAGUUGGAAAGAAAAAAAGUGUACAGUUGAUUGGUUUUUAAUGUGUUCUGAGAUUCCCAACCAUUGCCAUCACCUAAUGGGAGAACAUUUUAUUACCCCAAAAAGGGACCCAGUACCUCCCUAUUUGCUAUGUAUUCUGAGGAAGAGUAGGUAACAUGUAAGGCUUAAAUUUUAUGCAAAAAUUCUACAUUUAUAAAUGUAUAUACUUUAUAAAAUGAGCAUUGUCUUUCUAGUUUUUCUAGUUGGCAAUAUGAAUUUGGUAGAAAUAUGAUUAAAUAUGAAAUAUCAGGAUUUUUACCUUUGAUAUCCUCACGUCUAUUACAAAUUAUGACUGAUGUGAUUUUGCUGUGUGUCCCCAGCCAAAUCCCAUCUUUAAUUAUAAUUUCCACAAGCUGAGGGAGUGGCCUGAUUGGAGGUGAUUGAGUCAUGGGGCAGAGUUCCUCUUGCUGUUUUCCUGAUAGAGUUCUCAUGAGAUCUGGUUGUUUGAUAAACAUGUGGUGCUUCCUACUUCUCUGUCUCUCCUCCUCUAUGUAAGAUGUGCCUUCCUUCCCCUUCACCUUCUGCCAUGAUUAUAACUUUCCUAAGGCCACCUCAGCCAUAUAGAACUGUGAGUCAAUGAAACCUCUUUUCUGUAUAAACUACUCAGUCUCAGGUAAUUCUUUAUAUUGUAAAAAUGGACUAAUACUAGACCAAAAUUAACCUGGCUGCUGCAGAUUAGAGAGCUAUUAUGUGAAAGAUGAGACUGAUAUUUAAGCAUUUGCCUAUUUGGAUGUAUUUAGACUAGUAUUAAACAUAGAGUGAAAUCACAUUCAAGAAAAAAUUUAGAUAAGAUAACGGAUGGCCUGUUGAGUCUUUUGCUUUCUUUUAGAAAGACUGCCCCAAACAGAGUUGUGAAGUAAGAGAAAGUUUCUUUUGGAUUUCCUCUAU